AUUGGAAUCGCUUUGGGCAGCGACUCUAAUGCCUGCUGUCAGGCUUGGCGGGCCUUGAGGGCCAAGUAUGCAAGGGAAUCCAAAAAACAAAGUGGCCGGAGCGGUGCUGGCCGCGAUGAUGUUCCUGCGACGACAUGGCACCUGUUUAAAUAUCUCGCAUUCCUCAAGGGCCAGAUUCAGCACCGACGCACCAGAGUGCUCCCUGUUGCCAGGG
Molecule: long non-coding RNA, 214 nt
Organism: Ixodes scapularis (black-legged tick)
Lineage: Eukaryota; Metazoa; Arthropoda; Arachnida; Ixodida; Ixodidae
Exons: 3
Source: RefSeq, a predicted model, not a curated record